GAUGAACGCUGGCGGCGUGCCUAAUACAUGCAAGUCGAGCGAACAGACGAGGAGCUUGCUCCUCUGACGUUAGCGGCGGACGGGUGAGUAACACGUGGAUAACCUACCUAUAAGACUGGGAUAACUUCGGGAAACCGGAGCUAAUACCGGAUAAUAUAUUGAACCGCAUGGUUCAAUAGUGAAAGACGGUUUUGCUGUCACUUAUAGAUGGAUCCGCGCCGCAUUAGCUAGUUGGUAAGGUAACGGCUUACCAAGGCGACGAUGCGUAGCCGACCUGAGAGGGUGAUCGGCCACACGGGAACUGGGACACGGUCCAGACUCCUACGGGAGGCAGCAGUAGGGAAUCUUCCGCAAUGGGCGAAAGCCUGACGGAGCAACGCCGCGUGAGUGAUGAAGGUCUUCGGAUCGUAAAACUCUGUUAUUAGGGAAGAACAAAUGUGUAAGUAACUAUGCACGUCUUGACGGUACCUAAUCAGAAAGCCACGGCUAACUACGUG
Molecule: ribosomal RNA, 497 nt
Filed under: uncultured bacterium
Lineage: Bacteria
Description: partial 16S ribosomal RNA
Rfam family: Bacterial small subunit ribosomal RNA
Source: RNAcentral